This is a long non-coding RNA of Choloepus didactylus (southern two-toed sloth), 160 nucleotides long. RefSeq lists it as uncharacterized. Lineage: Eukaryota; Metazoa; Chordata; Mammalia; Pilosa; Megalonychidae. The record is from RefSeq and is a predicted model, not a curated record. The transcript is spliced from 3 exons.
CUUAUACAAAGAGCUCUCUGCCUCCAUGGUCUACCCUCCUCUUUCAACAGGAAAGCAUGGCUGGAAGGCUAUCAUUCCCUCAUUCAGCAUUUUGAGUAGGAGAUGAGAUUGGAGGCAGUGGAAAGUCAAAGUUCAGUAUGGAGAAGGCCUAUGUAUAAAG